This 937-nucleotide ribosomal RNA is filed under the name uncultured bacterium. RNAcentral describes it as "bacterial SSU rRNA". It matches the Rfam family "Bacterial small subunit ribosomal RNA", at positions 8 to 916 of the family's 1533-position model. The record is from RNAcentral.
AGAGUUUGAUCAUGGCUCAGAAUGAACGCUGGGCGGCGUGCAUAACACAUGCAAGUCGAACGAGAAACUCCGGGCUUGCUCGGGGGAGUAAAGUGGCGCACGGGUGAGUAACGCGUGGGUAACCUGCCCCUGAAUCUGGAAUAACUCGCCGAAAGGCGGACUAAUACCGGAUAUCGUCCCAGAGGCGCAUGUUUUUGGGAUAAAAGGUGACCUCUUCAUGAAAGUUGCCGUUUGGGGAGGGGCUCGCGUACCAUUAGCUAGUUGGUAGGGUAAUGGCCUACCAAGGCGACGAUGGUUAGCUGGUCUGAGAGGAUGAUCAGCCACACUGGAACUGGAACACGGUCCAGACUCCUACGGGAGGCAGCAGUGAGGAAUUUUGCGCAAUAGGGGAAACCCUGACGCAGCAACGCCGCGUGAGUGAAGAAGGCCUUCGGGUCGUAAAGCUCUGUCAAGUGGGAAAAAAUCCAGACGGUGAAUAGCCGGCUGGCCUGAUGGUACCACUAGAGGAAGCACCGGCUAACUCCGUGCCAGCAGCCGCGGUAAUACGGAGGGUGCAAGCGUUGUUCGGAAUUACUGGGCGUAAAGCGCGUGUAGGCGGUUUGGUAAGUCAGAUGUGAAAGCCCUGGGCUCAACCCAGGAAGUGCAUUUGAAACUGCCUUACUCGAGUAUGGGAGAGGAGAGUGGAAUUCCCAGUGUAGAGGUGAAAUUCGUAGAUAUUGGGAGGAACACCCGUGGCGAAGGCGACUCUCUGGACCAAUACUGACGCUGAGACGCGAAAGCGUGGGGAGCAAACAGGAUUAGAUACCCUGGUAGUCCACGCCGUAAACGAUGAGAACUAGGUGUAGCGGGUAUUGACCCCUGCUGUGCCGUAGCUAACGCAUUAAGUUCUCCGCCUGGGGAGUACGGCCGCAAGGCUAAAACUCAAAUGAAUUGACGG